GGGAAGAUGGCUCAGUGGUAGAGCGCUUGCCUUGCAUGUAUGAGGCCCUGGGUUCG
Molecule: transfer RNA, 56 nt
Filed under: Dipodomys ordii (Ord's kangaroo rat)
Lineage: Eukaryota; Metazoa; Chordata; Mammalia; Rodentia; Heteromyidae
Rfam family: tRNA
About the family: Transfer RNA (tRNA) molecules are approximately 80 nucleotides in length.
Source: Rfam by way of RNAcentral